CCUACGGGGGGCAGCAGUGAGGAAUAUUGGUCAAUGGACGAGAGUCUGAACCAGCCAAGUAGCGUGAAGGAUGACUGCCCUAUGGGUUGUAAACUUCUUUUAUAUGGGAAUAAAAUGUUCCACGUGUGGGAUUUUGUAUGUACCAUAUGAAUAAGGAUCGGCUAACUCCGUGCCAGCAGCCGCGGUAAUACGGAGGAUCCGAGCGUUAUCCGGAUUUAUUGGGUUUAAAGGGAGCGUAGGUGGAUUGUUAAGUCAGUUGUGAAAGUUUGCGGCUCAACCGUAAAAUUGCAGUUGAAACUGGCAGUCUUGAGUACAGUAGAGGUGGGCGGAAUUCGUGGUGUAGCGGUGAAAUGCUUAGAUAUCACGCAGAACUCCGAUUGCGAAGGCAGUUCACUGGACUGCAACUGACACUGAGGCUCGAAAGUGUGGGUAUCAAACAGGAUUAGAUACCCCAGUAGUC
RNAcentral lists this ribosomal RNA (460 nucleotides) under uncultured bacterium. RNAcentral describes it as "partial 16S ribosomal RNA". It matches the Rfam family "Bacterial small subunit ribosomal RNA", at positions 338 to 795 of the family's 1533-position model. The record is from RNAcentral.